This 552-nucleotide ribosomal RNA is filed under the name Triticum aestivum (bread wheat). RNAcentral describes it as "partial small subunit ribosomal RNA". The record is from RNAcentral. Lineage: Eukaryota; Viridiplantae; Streptophyta; Magnoliopsida; Poales; Poaceae.
AUGGAGAAGCCGACGACUACCCACUGGACGGCUGUCAAGCAAAUCCUUCGGUAUGUAAAGAGCACUCUGAAAUAUGGUUGCUGCUACCGGCGUGGUACUGGGAAGGCCGCACUACUGGGUUACAGCGACAGCGAUCACGCUGGAGACGUCGGAGACCGCAAGAGCACCUUUGGACAGGUCUUCUUCCUCGGCGAGAACCCUGUCUCAUGGAACUCCCAGAAGCAGAGAAUCGUUGCGAUCAGUUCUUGCGAGGCUGAAUAUGUAGCAGCAGCGGCGGCCACCUGUCAAGGCCUCUGGAUGAGCCGUCUUCUUGCAGAAAUGAGAGGGGAAGAGGUCAGCGCGUUCAAACUCCUAGUCAACAACAAGUCAGCCAUUGCUUUGGCGAAGAAUCCAGUCCAUCAUGACCCAAGUAAGCACAUUGACAUCAAGUUUCACUUUAUUCGUGAUUGUGUGGAGACUGGACAGGUGGACAUUGAUCAUGUUAGCACUGACGAUCAGCUUGCCGAUGCUCUGACCAAGGCACUGGGACGUGUGCAGUUCAUUGAGCUGUGA